RNAcentral lists this ribosomal RNA (627 nucleotides) under Lactococcus garvieae. RNAcentral describes it as "bacterial SSU rRNA". It matches the Rfam family "Bacterial small subunit ribosomal RNA", at positions 67 to 678 of the family's 1533-position model. Lineage: Bacteria; Bacillati; Bacillota; Bacilli; Lactobacillales; Streptococcaceae. The record is from RNAcentral.
UGAUUAAAGAUAGCUUGCUAUUUUUAUGAAGAGCGGCGAACGGGUGAGUAACGCGUGGGAAAUCUGCCGAGUAGCGGGGGACAACGUUUGGAAACGAACGCUAAUACCGCAUAACAAUGAGAAUCGCAUGAUUCUUAUUUAAAAGAAGCAAUUGCUUCACUACUUGAUGAUCCCGCGUUGUAUUAGCUAGUUGGUAGUGUAAAGGACUACCAAGGCGAUGAUACAUAGCCGACCUGAGAGGGUGAUCGGCCACACUGGGACUGAGACACGGCCCAGACUCCUACGGGAGGCAGCAGUAGGGAAUCUUCGGCAAUGGGGGCAACCCUGACCGAGCAACGCCGCGUGAGUGAAGAAGGUUUUCGGAUCGUAAAACUCUGUUGUUAGAGAAGAACGUUAAGUAGAGUGGAAAAUUACUUAAGUGACGGUAUCUAACCAGAAAGGGACGGCUAACUACGUGCCAGCAGCCGCGGUAAUACGUAGGUCCCAAGCGUUGUCCGGAUUUAUUGGGCGUAAAGCGAGCGCAGGUGGUUUCUUAAGUCUGAUGUAAAAGGCAGUGGCUCAACCAUUGUGUGCAUUGGAAACUGGGAGACUUGAGUGCAGGAGAGGAGAGUGGAAUUCCAUGUGGUA